RNAcentral lists this transfer RNA (79 nucleotides) under Vallicoccus soli. It matches the Rfam family "tRNA". Rfam says of the family: Transfer RNA (tRNA) molecules are approximately 80 nucleotides in length. Their secondary structure includes four short double-helical elements and three loops (D, anti-codon, and T loops). Further hydrogen bonds mediate the characteristic L-shaped molecular structure. tRNAs have two regions of fundamental functional importance: the anti-codon, which is responsible for specific mRNA codon recognition, and the 3' end, to which the tRNAs corresponding amino acid is attached (by aminoacyl-tRNA synthetases). tRNAs cope with the degeneracy of the genetic code in two manners: having more than one tRNA (with a specific anti-codon) for a particular amino acid; and 'wobble' base-pairing, i.e. permitting non-standard base-pairing at the 3rd anti-codon position. Lineage: Bacteria; Bacillati; Actinomycetota; Actinomycetes; Motilibacterales; Vallicoccaceae. The record is from Rfam by way of RNAcentral.
UCCCGCGUUGGUCUGCUGGUAGGGCCCGCUCGGCUUUGAACCGAGACUAGCGACGCAGGUUCGAUUCCUGCCGCGGGAG